Mercenaria mercenaria is the source of this 455-nucleotide long non-coding RNA. RefSeq lists it as uncharacterized. The record is from RefSeq and is a predicted model, not a curated record. The transcript has 2 exons. NCBI's taxonomy places the organism in Eukaryota, Metazoa, Mollusca, Bivalvia, Venerida, Veneridae.
AUUCGUUGUUGCUAUAGUGUUAAGUCACGUAAAACUUUGUAGCAGUUUAGUAUUUGGUGUAAAUGAAUAAGGAUUUAAAGAUUAAAAAUGAGUUUUGAAGAGUUCUUUAAAGAUAUUGAUUGUCUAACUGUGGCUUUGAGAGAGAAAUACCCUAACGACUCUGAUGUGCAGAAAUGGAAUGAAAUAUACUGCAAAAGAUACUAUGAUCUUCUCAUUCAACAUAUUUGGAAUCCAGACGAAUUUCAAAUACUUCAAGAAGAGAACACUAGAUUAAAACAAGAAUUACAGACUUUAAAACAAAGUACUUCUAAAACAAUGACGUCGUCCGUAUCAAAACAAACGAAAUAUGAUAAAAUUAGAAAAAAUAUUCAACAAUCAUAUUCAGAAGAAAGAAGGUUAACUUGCGACUGUGAUUACUCUGAAGAACCAACGAUUGAUUUAUGUAUUAAAGCUUU